This 331-nucleotide long non-coding RNA is filed under the name Salvia miltiorrhiza (redroot sage). Its description in RNAcentral is "long non-coding RNA (SMIL_LNC009236)". Lineage: Eukaryota; Viridiplantae; Streptophyta; Magnoliopsida; Lamiales; Lamiaceae. The record is from RNAcentral.
CGCGACCGAAGGUAAAGCAUCGAAGGAGAAAACAACUGAAUCUUUGGAAAAGAAUCCAACCACAGAAAUUGCCGACACCGGCGUUUCCAAAAAGCACUGCCGACCGGAAACCUCCAAAUCUAAACCCAAGCCAACCCGACGUUCCAACCGCAAUCAUCCAAGGAUGUUAAAACCUGAUUCCACAGUUUAUGUCAUCGACGAUGCGGCUCAAGCAAAACCGUCCCCAACGAAAUAAGCCCGAAAAGGGAAGCUUAAACAACGACGCUUGAUUGACUCCUCCACGACUGGCGAUGAAGAGUCCACAACACCGAUCCAAGAGGAACAUGCAGCC